This is a transfer RNA of Halothece sp. PCC 7418, 73 nucleotides long. It matches the Rfam family "tRNA". From Rfam's summary of the family: Transfer RNA (tRNA) molecules are approximately 80 nucleotides in length. Their secondary structure includes four short double-helical elements and three loops (D, anti-codon, and T loops). The record is from Rfam. NCBI's taxonomy places the organism in Bacteria, Bacillati, Cyanobacteriota, Cyanophyceae, Chroococcales, Halothecacae.
GGGGGUAUAGCUCAGUUGGUAGAGCACCUGCCUUGCACGCAGGGAGUCAGCGGUUCGAGUCCGCUUACCUCCA